This 97-nucleotide transfer RNA is filed under the name Wenzhouxiangella marina. RNAcentral's name for it is "tRNA-Leu". It matches the Rfam family "transfer-messenger RNA", at positions 275 to 374 of the family's 374-position model. From Rfam's summary of the family: Bacterial tmRNA, also known as 10Sa RNA or SsrA, is named for its dual tRNA and mRNA-like properties. Its role is to liberate the mRNA from a stalled ribosome. Lineage: Bacteria; Pseudomonadati; Pseudomonadota; Gammaproteobacteria; Chromatiales; Wenzhouxiangellaceae. The record is from RNAcentral.
GGGCGGUGCAGUAACGAGAAAAAAUCGAGUGGCUAAGCAUGUAGAACCAGGAUCUGAUGGUUUGCGGACGCGGGUUCGACUCCCGCCGCCUCCACCA